This 458-nucleotide ribosomal RNA is filed under the name uncultured bacterium. Its description in RNAcentral is "partial 16S ribosomal RNA". It matches the Rfam family "Bacterial small subunit ribosomal RNA", at positions 338 to 795 of the family's 1533-position model. The record is from RNAcentral.
CCUACGGGGUGCAGCAGUGAGGAAUAUUGGUCAAUGGGCGAGAGCCUGAACCAGCCAAGUCGCGUGAGGGAGUACUGCCCUAUGGGUUGUAAACCUCUUUUGUCGGGGAGCAAAAGCCGGACGUGUCCGGCUGUGAGAGUACCCGAAGAAAAAGCAUCGGCUAACUCCGUUCCAGCAGCCGCGGUAAUACGGAGGAUGCGAGCGUUAUCCGGAUUUAUUGGGUUUAAAGGGUGCGCAGGCGGAUUUUUAAGUCAGCGGUAAAAUCGUGGGGCUCAACCCCAUCCAGCCGUUGAAACUGGGGAUCUAGAGUGUGCGAGAGGUAUGCGGAAUGCGUGGUGUAGCGGUGAAAUGCAUAGAUAUCACGCAGAACCCCGAUUGCGAAGGCAGCAUACCGGUGCACAACUGACGCUCAGGCACGAAAGCGUGGGUAUCGAACAGGAUUAGAUACCCCAGUAGUC